This 842-nucleotide ribosomal RNA is filed under the name Karaftohelix gainesi. RNAcentral's name for it is "partial 16S ribosomal RNA". Lineage: Eukaryota; Metazoa; Mollusca; Gastropoda; Stylommatophora; Camaenidae. The record is from RNAcentral.
UCACGAAAUGGUUGGAGUUAAUUAUAUAUGUGGUUUUAGACUAUACACAGUGUGUGGUAUAAUACUGGAAAAAGAUAUAAUUAGGUGUGAUAGGCUUUUCAAAUACCAGGAUAUCUUGAUAGCGCUUAAACGUAUGUAGUACGUAAGACAAAUAGAAAGUGUUGAGGCUUUCUAUAAUUUCAAAAUCGAUCUCAUAGACUUAUUGGUUUAACCAUCUUUUAUUUAGAAUAAAUAAUAUUAAAUUUCAUCCGUUUGAUUUAAAUACGUGCUUCUAUAUUGAAAUUAAGGUGUAUAGUAAUAAUGUUUCCAUAAGUAUUAAUUAAGGCGUUUAUAAUGAACUCGGCAAUAAAUAUUCUCAACUGUUUAUCAAAAACAUAGCUGUAUGUAAUUAUAUAUAGUUAUUUCUGCUCAAUGUAAUAUAAAUAGCCGCAGUACUCUGACUGUGCAAAGGUAGCAUAAUCAAUUGGCUUAUAAUUGAAGUCUAGUAUGAAAGAAAAUAUGGGGAUUGACUAUAUAAAAUACGUUCUUUUAAAAUUACUUAAUAAGUGAAAAGACUUAUAUUUAAAUAAUAGACGAGAAGACCCUAGAAAUUUUGAGGACUGAUAAGAUGCAUGGUUUUUGUUGGGGCGACACAGUAGCAUAAUUAACCUACUAAGAUUAAUAUGAUUAUUAUAUUAUGGAUAAUUAAAUUACUCUAGGGAUAACAGCAUAAUAUUAAAAAGUUUGUGACCUCGAUGUUGGACUAGGAUACUACCACCCAGAAGGUUACUAGUAAGGCUCUGUUCGAGCAAUUUACUCCUACAUGAUCUGAGUUCAGACCGGCGUAAGCCAGGUCAGUUUCU